GGCCUCCAGACUUCCCCUCGGGCUCCCUCCGCUCGCCGGACCUCUCUGGGAUGUGACCACUCUGGCUGCGAUGUGGUAACUAAAGACAGCAAAUACUGAAGCAGGAAAGAGAAGGUCCUUCUAACAGGAGAGACAUAAUGGCUGACUGGACUUGGGGAGGGAUAGUAAGAGCGACAGUAACAAGCUGUUAAGAGUCUGGAUAUAGUUUGAAGAAAGAGCCCACAGGGUCUGUGCUAACAGAAAUGAAGGACAAUGACAAGAUUUUUGUCUAAGCAACUGAAAAAUGGAGGUACUGGUUUGCUAACAUGAGUGAAAACGAAGUAUGAGGAAGAAAUAUCGGGGGCCCAGUUCUGGGUAGGUUAACUUUGUUAUUAGACAUCUGAGUGGAGAUACUGAGUUAAGGAACCUGGAAUUCAGACGAGAGGUCAGGGCUGAUCAUCAGAUAUAGAUAAUUGUUAAAGGAAUGAAAAAGAAUGAGACUGCCCAGGGACUAAGUGAAGCCAGCGAAGCAGGGAGUCCAAGGACUGAAUGUGGGAUACUCCCAACAUGAGGAGAAAAGAGAACCGGCAAGGGUGACUGGAAA
RNAcentral lists this non-coding RNA (583 nucleotides) under Pongo abelii (Sumatran orangutan). Lineage: Eukaryota; Metazoa; Chordata; Mammalia; Primates; Hominidae. The record is from RNAcentral.